GUGAAUCAUCGAAUUUUUGAACGCAAAUUGCACUCCUCGGUACUCCGAGGAGUAUACAUGCUUGAGGGUCAGUUAAAAAUAUCGUGCAUAACUGAUGUUUUGGAUCUGGUAUUCCGAUUUUAUCAAACGUUUAUUUAACAUUAUUAUGGAUAUGUAUUGUGAAGCGUACUAAUUCUAUAGUAGCUAAUCAUUUAUAUUUAUUACAUUACAACUAUACGAAAGCAUUUAGUUGGUGUAUAAAAUCUGA
Molecule: unclassified non-coding RNA, 247 nt
Filed under: Gigasporaceae sp.
Lineage: Eukaryota; Fungi; Glomeromycota; Glomeromycetes; Diversisporales; Gigasporaceae
Description: partial contains 5.8S ribosomal RNA and internal transcribed spacer 2
Rfam family: 5.8S ribosomal RNA (bases 1-71)
Source: RNAcentral